UAUCAAGUAUUGUUUAUUAAUUAAGCAUCUUAUCGUUACAGGUACAAGUCUGGAACUGAGGCAGGACCGCAUGGCCGACCCUUAAGUACCCCUGGGGCGUGGCUAAGGGGCGUGCUGCGCAUGCGUGAGGUUCAUUUCUCCCCAGUCGUCGUGGAGUGAGGAGCUCAUCCAUGCUGCUCCCGGAUGAAGGCCCCAAUCUUCCGGAUGGGCCUUCAGCUCCUCUCCGGUUGGCCUUGCCUGCUCGGGAUCGUCGCGGAUCGUCGCCUGGAGCCUCGGAAAACGGUACAAGUCUGGAACUGAGGCAGGACCGCAUGGCCGACCCUUAAGUACCCCUGGGGCGUGGCUAAGGUAAGGAGGGGUCAUUGGGUUAGGGUGGACCUUGGGGGUUGGCUUGCCCAGCCCCCCUGCUUCUGGAUCUGGAUCAGAGGCAAGGCAUUUAUUCAUGACAUAAACAAAUAAUUCCUUCAACACUGUCAAACUAGUUAUUAAGUCUGCAUUACUAUUAAUCUUCUCA
Molecule: non-coding RNA, 514 nt
Organism: Pantherophis guttatus
Lineage: Eukaryota; Metazoa; Chordata; Lepidosauria; Squamata; Colubridae
Source: RefSeq, a predicted model, not a curated record